Anopheles arabiensis is the source of this 435-nucleotide long non-coding RNA. RefSeq lists it as uncharacterized. The transcript is spliced from 3 exons. The record is from RefSeq and is a predicted model, not a curated record. NCBI's taxonomy places the organism in Eukaryota, Metazoa, Arthropoda, Insecta, Diptera, Culicidae.
UGAACCUGUUCCGGUUCCAAAAACCGAUAAUUUAUCUCGAACAUCCCUUCAUGUUCUUCCCAUCGUCAGACACGUCACCGUGAAUAAUGUUAGCUUAUCGGAAAACACAAUCUCCUUGAAAAUUGCGUCCUGCUUGUCGUGGCUGAUGGUCGACUUGCGCGAAACCAGCGCAUCCUGCACCUUCUCCUUCAGCUCGCUGCUCUUAAAAUCAUUCCGCAGAUAGAACAACCGCACCAGAUGGUCCUCCGUAAUCGACGGGUACGACGACAGCACCGAGUGCAGAUCGAGCACCAGCAUCUCCGCGUCACAGUUCAACAGCCCGGCCAGAUUGGAAAUAACAUCAAUCGAAUUUGAAGCUUGUUAACUACGCGGACUUCCCGAUAGAGCUAACAGGCGGUAACAACGUCCCUCUUAAGCACUUUGGAUUUCAUGCGA